RNAcentral lists this ribosomal RNA (374 nucleotides) under uncultured soil bacterium. Its description in RNAcentral is "bacterial SSU rRNA". It matches the Rfam family "Bacterial small subunit ribosomal RNA", at positions 26 to 384 of the family's 1533-position model. The record is from RNAcentral.
AGAACGAACGCUGGCGGCGUGGAUUAGGCAUGCAAGUCGUACGCGAAAGUUUCCUUCGGGGGAAUGAGUAGAGUGGCGAACUGGUGAGUACAAGGUGACUAACCUGCCCUUGAGUGGGGGAUAACUUCGGGAAACCGAAGCUAAUACCGCAUGGUCUCUUUGCCUUUCGAGGUGGAGAGUAAAGCAGCAAUGUGCUCAAGGAUGGGGUCACCCCCCAUUAGCUUGUUGGUAGGGUAACGGCCUACCAAGGCUACGAUGGGUAGCUGGACGUGAGGAGGUUGGCCAGCCACACUGGGACUGAGACUACGGCCAGGACUCCGUACGGGGGGCAGUCAGUCUAACGGAGGCUUACGGACAAGUCGACCCGAAAGGGU